This 113-nucleotide ribosomal RNA is filed under the name Neogale vison (American mink). Lineage: Eukaryota; Metazoa; Chordata; Mammalia; Carnivora; Mustelidae. The record is from RNAcentral.
GUCUAUGGCCAUACCACCCUGAACGUGCCCGAUCUCGUCUGAUCUCGGAAGCUAAGCAGGGUUGGGCCCGGUUCGUACUUGGAUGGGAGGAGCUGCAUUUGGUGCUGGGAAGU